UACGGAGGGGGCUAGCGUUGUUCGGAAUUACUGGGCGUAAAGCGCACGUAGGCGGCUUUGUAAGUUAGAGGUGAAAGCCCAGGGCUUAACCCUGGAAUUGCCUUUAAGACUGCAUCGCUAGAAUUGUGGAGAGGUGAGUGGAAUUCCGAGUGUAGAGGUGAAAUUCGUAGAUAUCAGGAGGAACACCUAUAGCGAAGGCAGCUCGCUGGGACGACACUGACGCUGAGACGCGAAAGCGUGGGGAGCGAACAGG
Molecule: ribosomal RNA, 253 nt
Filed under: uncultured bacterium
Lineage: Bacteria
Description: partial 16S ribosomal RNA
Rfam family: Bacterial small subunit ribosomal RNA
Source: RNAcentral